Puntigrus tetrazona (Sumatra barb) is the source of this 589-nucleotide long non-coding RNA. RefSeq lists it as uncharacterized. The transcript is spliced from 2 exons. The record is from RefSeq and is a predicted model, not a curated record. Lineage: Eukaryota; Metazoa; Chordata; Actinopteri; Cypriniformes; Cyprinidae.
CUGCUGUAUCUUCUGUUGUAGAGGAGCCUGAUCAGACCACAGAUGAAGAAGCAGCUCCUCAGAUGAACUUCAGUGGUUCUCCUGCUGAAUGGCAGAAACCUGUCACUUCUGAAGGGACUGAGAAGACAGACCAGACGCAGCUGUUUGAUUUUCUGGCAAACCAGUUUAAUACCAUCAACAACACCCUGAAAUCAAUUGAUUUGUCUUUGAAGAAGCUGGUGGAGAAGGAAUCACAAAACACACUGCCUCAAUACAUCAGUCUAACUCCUGCUGUCAUUGAAAACCUCCAGAUUCAGUCCUCAGUCAAGGAGGAGCAAAUCACACAAGUUUUAAAUCAAUGAAGUAGACUUUGACACUGAACAGAGUUAGUACUGAGGAAGCAGGACUGUGAUCUGAGAGGUUAUGGUUUUAAAGACAGCUUCAAAAACUUGUGGUCUAAUUUGAACUUGAACUAGUGGUCUAAUGGUUUUUAAAAAUACAUGUAAGGUAUAUCCAUAGAUAUGUGAUCCCCCAUUUCUUAUAAAAGGCCAAUUCAGAAAUGGAUUUUAAAAAGCAAUCCCAUAUUAAAUUCUGAAUGUUAUGCACCUGU